Molecule: ribosomal RNA, 253 nt
Filed under: uncultured bacterium
Lineage: Bacteria
Description: partial 16S ribosomal RNA
Rfam family: Bacterial small subunit ribosomal RNA
Source: RNAcentral
UACGUAGGUGGCAAGCGUUGUCCGGAUUUACUGGGCGUAAAGAGCGCGCAGGCGGUCGUUCAAGUCGCGUGUGAAAGCCCCCGGCUCAACUGGGGAGGGUCACGCGAUACUGAUCGACUCGAAGGCAGGAGAGGGUAGUGGAAUUCCCGGUGUAGUGGUGAAAUGCGUAGAUAUCGGGAGGAACACCAGUGGCGAAGGCGGCGUCCUGGACCUGGCCUGACGCUCAGGAGCGAAAGCGUGGGGAGCGAUCCGG